CAGAUUUUCUAACCUAACGCCCUCAACUUUGUCUAUUAAUACCACGCUUCGCAGUAGAGAGCGACGAUUUUGUCAGAGGAAAAAGUUAUUUGGCAUGCAUAAACGUUGUGGUUACAUACGCAUGCGCACAUGACCACAGUGCAGGACUGUAUCAUCAGUUUAACAAGUUUUCUAACCUGUUAAGGCGUGAACUUUAACACUUAAUAUCUCGGCUCGCGGGGCAGAGCGACGUUUUUUUCGGCCGGAUUCCUUCAUUUUAAGUAAAAACGCGUCGAUUGAAUCCUCUUUUAUUAAAAUCGGAGUGCUCAGCCUGGCAACCUUCUAAGCUGAGAGCUCGCGCCAGAUUCCGUGCGAUGCCUAAUCGGAAGAUUGAGAUCUUGUCUUGAAAUUUGGGAUCGUCGCCGUGAGCUUCCACGCAACGUAGCAACUCGUAGCAGUCGUUAGAGGAGAAGAUCACAUCUUUGGCUUCCAACAGUGAUCACAACUUACUAUUUUGGCGUCAGAUUUGAGACCAAAAGGGAUACUAAUAAACUCGCUGCUUCUCGAAACUCGCCGAUUCCGUACAUCUGAUGAAACUCGCAGUAUUUCCCUAAAUAUAAUAAAAUCGUUAGACAAGUCGUUACUCGCAUCAGACAAUUUCGUUUGUUGUUGCAUCGAUCGUUUACCU
This is a long non-coding RNA of Odontomachus brunneus, 667 nucleotides long. RefSeq lists it as uncharacterized. The transcript has 3 exons. The record is from RefSeq and is a predicted model, not a curated record. Lineage: Eukaryota; Metazoa; Arthropoda; Insecta; Hymenoptera; Formicidae.